This 491-nucleotide ribosomal RNA is filed under the name uncultured bacterium. RNAcentral describes it as "partial 16S ribosomal RNA". It matches the Rfam family "Bacterial small subunit ribosomal RNA", at positions 28 to 507 of the family's 1533-position model. The record is from RNAcentral.
GAUGAACGCUGGCUACAGGCUUAACACAUGCAAGUCGAGGGGAAACGACGGGGAAGCUUGCUUCCCCGGGCGUCGACCGGCGCACGGGUGAGUAACGCGUAUCCAACCUGCCUCUGACUGAGGGAUAACCCGUCGAAAGUCGGCCUAAUACCUCAUGGUAUCGUCUGCGGGCAUCCAACGACGAUUAAAGAUUUCAUCGGUCAGGGAUGGGGAUGCGUCUGAUUAGCUUGUUGGCGGGGUAACGGCCCACCAAGGCUACGAUCAGUAGGGGUUCUGAGAGGAAGGUCCCCCACAUUGGAACUGAGACACGGUCAAAACUCCUACGGGAGGCAGCAGUGAGGAAUAUUGGUCAAUGGGCGAGAGCCUGAACCAGCCAAGUAGCGUGCAGGAAGACGGCCCUAUGGGUUGUAAACUGCUUUUAUGCGGGGAUAAAGUGAGGGACGUGUCCCUCAUUGCAGGUACCGCAUGAAUAAGGACCGGCUAAUUCCGUG